This 591-nucleotide ribosomal RNA is filed under the name uncultured fungus. RNAcentral describes it as "eukaryotic LSU rRNA". It matches the Rfam family "Eukaryotic large subunit ribosomal RNA", at positions 1 to 598 of the family's 3401-position model. The record is from RNAcentral. Lineage: Eukaryota; Fungi.
UUGACCUCAGAUCAGGUAGGAAGACCGCCUGAACUUAAGCAUAUCAAUAAGGCGAGGAACAGAAACCAACCGGGAUUCCCCCAGUAGUGGCGAAUGAAGCGGGAAAAGCUCAAGUUUGAAAUCUGACGUGAGUCAGAGUUGUAAGCUGAAGAGGCUUCGACCGAUGUGGCUCGGGCUCAAUUCCCUUGGGAUAGGGAGUCGUGGAGGGUGAGAACCCCGUUCUUGGCCCUGUGGCCUUCAUCCUUGUGUCGUUUCCUCGAAGAGUCGGGUUGUUUGGGAAUGCAGCUCAAAAUGGGUGGUAAAUUUCAUCUAAAGCUAAAUAUUGGCGAGAGACCGAUAGCAAACAAGUAGAGUAAUCGAAAGAUGAAAAGUACUUUGAAAAGAGAGUGAAACAGUGCGUGAAAUUGUUGAAAGGGAACCGUUUGGUAUCAGCCAUGGCCGUCCCCGAUCACCCGGGCUUCUGCCCGGUGCACUCGGGGACGGUCGGGCCAGCGUCGACUUUGUCCGCCGGAGAAAGGUCGGGGGAACGUGACUCCUCACGGAGUGUUAUAGCCCCCGGCGUCAUGCGGCGUGGCGGGGUCGAGGUCCGCG